This is a long non-coding RNA of Carcharodon carcharias (great white shark), 768 nucleotides long. RefSeq lists it as uncharacterized. NCBI's taxonomy places the organism in Eukaryota, Metazoa, Chordata, Chondrichthyes, Lamniformes, Lamnidae. The record is from RefSeq and is a predicted model, not a curated record. The transcript has 3 exons.
AUUUUGAGUUCUAACCUCAUUUUCUUGCUCACAGGUAGAUUUCAAAGAUGUGAGGAAACUUUCUCUUUGCCAAAAGGGGUGAGACGAUUUGUGAAUCUUAGCAAUUUGUCUUGAAACCAAGUUUUUCAUUUGACUGAUAUAAUGGCCUGAAUGACCAGAAAGGAAGAUUGAAAAUGUGCUGUGUAAAGCUGCUACGUUGUUCGUGAUCCACAGACACCCGUGAGGAGAUCAGACUGAAGGUACAGCGUGACUCAAGUUUCAGGUGCCAAAGAUCAUGGACAGUACAGUAGCAUUGGUGACAACGCCCCCCCCUGCACUGGUAAGGAUGAAGGGAGCACACGAGGAUGCAAAUGCAGCCAGGGUAAAUAUCUUCUCAUCAACUUCUGUUGCGAAUGGCUCACAUGAUCUCAAACCAAAGCUAGGUGGUUUCAAAAAUAUCUUCUCUCUGGCUGAAUGAAGGAGAAGUCUGCCUGUAACAGAGGCCUGAGAACAAGACAAUGGAAGAGAGAAAGGCUGCAAGGAGGAUUUGAUAUGAUAUAGCCUCCCGGUCCAAGAAGGAGCUGCUGGAUGCUAAGAACCACAAGCUACAAGAGGAAAUUAUGGAACUGUCAAUAUGGCAUGUUUCACCUCCCACCUCCAGACCCAGGAGAGGAGGCUUUCAAGGAAGAGCUCGAAAAGGGGAAUAAUCUCCAAGAAAAUUCCGGACUUCGAUAAGAGACAAAAAUCAACACAUAAAUUAGUGUUACUGGACUUCUUGCUGCUGAGAUC